Molecule: ribosomal RNA, 537 nt
Filed under: uncultured bacterium
Lineage: Bacteria
Description: partial 16S ribosomal RNA
Rfam family: Bacterial small subunit ribosomal RNA
Source: RNAcentral
UGGGGAAUAUUGCGCAAUGGGGGGAACCCUGACGCAGCGACGCCGCGUGCGGGAUGACGGCCUUCGGGUUGUAAACCGCUUUUGAUUGGGAGCAAGCGCAAGUGAGUGUACCUUUCGAAUAAGGACCGGCUAACUACGUGCCAGCAGCCGCGGUAAUACGUAGGGUCCAAGCGUUGUCCGGAAUUAUUGGGCGUAAAGAGCUCGUAGGCGGCGCGUCGCGUCUGGUGUGAAAGUCCAUCGCUUAACGGUGGAUCUGCGCUGGAUACGGGCGUGCUGGAGUGCGGUAGGGGAGACUGGAAUUCCCGGUGUAACGGCGGAAUGUGUAGAUAUCGGGAAGAACACCAAUGGCGAAGGCAGGUCUCUGGGCCGUUACUGACGCUGAGGAGCGAAAGCGUGGGGAGCGAACAGGAUUAGAUACCCGUGGUAGUCCAGCGCCGUAAACGGUGGAUGCUGGAUGUGGGGCCCUUUCCACGGGUUCCGUGUCGGAGCUAACGCGUUAAGCAUCCCGCCUGGGGAGUACGGCCGCAAGGCUAAAAC